This is a non-coding RNA of Rhodocyclales bacterium, 167 nucleotides long. Lineage: Bacteria; Pseudomonadati; Pseudomonadota; Betaproteobacteria; Rhodocyclales. The record is from Rfam.
AAGACCGUGAGGGAUUGUUCGAAGGAAGCCGGAAGCAAACGCGCGAGGCGACGGACAGAAACCGCAUAGAAGGCCGAGAGGGUCGAGGCGAGUCGGCACAGGACGACAAAGCCCACCGGUACGACCCUUACGGUAAAUGCAGCGCUUGUGCACGGAAACAUCGCGUU